UGGGGAAUAUUGGACAAUGGGCGAAAGCCUGAUCCAGCCAUGCCGCGUGUGUGAAGAAGGUCUUCGGAUUGUAAAGCACUUUAAGUUGGGAGGAAGGGCAGUUACCUAAUACGUGAUUGUUUUGACGUUACCGACAGAAUAAGCACCGGCUAACUCUGUGCCAGCAGCCGCGGUAAUACAGAGGGUGCAAGCGUUAAUCGGAAUUACUGGGCGUAAAGCGCGCGUAGGUGGUUUGUUAAGUUGGAUGUGAAAGCCCCGGGCUCAACCUGGGAACUGCAUCCAAAACUGGCAAGCUAGAGUAUGGUAGAGGGUGGUGGAAUUUCCUGUGUAGCGGUGAAAUGCGUAGAUAUAGGAAGGAACACCAGUGGCGAAGGCGACCACCUGGACUGAUACUGACACUGAGGUGCGAAAGCGUGGGGAGCAAACAGG
Molecule: ribosomal RNA, 429 nt
Filed under: Ferribacterium sp.
Lineage: Bacteria; Pseudomonadati; Pseudomonadota; Betaproteobacteria; Rhodocyclales; Azonexaceae
Also listed under: 1 other name
Description: partial 16S ribosomal RNA
Rfam family: Bacterial small subunit ribosomal RNA
Source: RNAcentral